This 386-nucleotide ribosomal RNA is filed under the name uncultured bacterium. RNAcentral's name for it is "bacterial SSU rRNA". It matches the Rfam family "Bacterial small subunit ribosomal RNA", at positions 30 to 418 of the family's 1533-position model. The record is from RNAcentral.
AUUGAACGCUGGCGGAAUGCCUUACACAUGCAAGUCGAACGGCAGCACGGGAGCAACCCUGGUGGCGAGUGGCGAACGGGUGAGUAAUACAUCGGAACGUGCCCAAUCGUGGGGGAUAACGUAGCGAAAGCUACGCUAAUACCGCAUACGAUCUACGGAUGAAAGCAGGGGAUCGCAAGACCUUGCGCGAAUGGAGCGGCCGAUGGCAGAUUAGGUAGUUGGGGGGUAAAGGCUCACCAAGCCUUCGAUCUGUAGCUGGUCUGAGAGGACGACCAGCCACACUGGGACUGAGACACGGCCCAGACUCCUACGGAGGCAGCAGUGGGGAAUUUUGGACAAUGGGCGCAAGCCUGAUCCAGCCAUUCCGCGUGCAGGAUGAAGGCCUU